RNAcentral lists this ribosomal RNA (468 nucleotides) under uncultured bacterium. RNAcentral describes it as "partial 16S ribosomal RNA". It matches the Rfam family "Bacterial small subunit ribosomal RNA", at positions 28 to 507 of the family's 1533-position model. The record is from RNAcentral.
GACGAACGCUGGCGGCGUGCUUAACACAUGCAAGUCGAACGGAAAGGCCCUGCUUUUGUGGGGUGCUCGAGUGGCGAACGGGUGAGUAACACGUGAGUAACCUGCCCUUGACUUUGGGAUAACUUCAGGAAACUGGGGCUAAUACCGGAUAGGAGCUCCUGCUUCAUGGUGGGGGUUGGAAAGUUUCGGCGGUUGGGGAUGGACUCGCGGCUUAUCAGCUUGUUGGGGGGGUAGUGGCUUACCAAGGCUUUGACGGGUAGCCGGCCUGCGAGGGUGACCGGCCACAUUGGGACUGAGAUACGGCCCAGACUCCUACGGGAGGCAGCAGUGGGGAAUAUUGCACAAUGGGCGGAAGCCUGAUGCAGCAACGCCGCGUGCGGGAUGACGGCCUUCGGGUUGUAAACCGCUUUCGCCUGUGACGAAGCGUGAGUGACGGUAAUGGGUAAAGAAGCACCGGCUAACUACGUG